AAAAGCAGGAAGAGGAAGGAAGGCUGACGAGUUUAUCAGCCUGACUUCUUCCUUCUUAUGACCACAGAGGAGCGUCUUCUGUAGAGACAACAUCUUCUCCCUGCUUCACACAGGGAUGAGAAGAGCAGCUAUGAGCCUGAAAGCAGCAGCGAGUGUGUUGGUUAUCUGUCUUCUCUCUCUGCCAGUGGUUAGGGGAGAGGUUGUCUGGGGAGUGACUUACUCUUCUCAUCAGAUCUGUGCCUUAAAAGGAUCAACAGUGGACAUACCCUGCACCUACACAUAUCCAUCAACAAUAAAUCAUCAAAGUACUGAAGUUAAAAGCAGAUU
Long non-coding RNA from Notolabrus celidotus (New Zealand spotty), 327 nucleotides. RefSeq lists it as uncharacterized. Lineage: Eukaryota; Metazoa; Chordata; Actinopteri; Labriformes; Labridae. The transcript has 3 exons. The record is from RefSeq and is a predicted model, not a curated record.